UACGUAGGUGGCAAGCGUUGUCCGGAAUUAUUGGGCGUAAAGGGCUCGUAGGCGGUCUGUCACGUCGGGAGUGAAAACUCGGGGCUUAACCCCGAGCCUGCUUCCGAUACGGGCAGACUAGAGGUAUGCAGGGGAGAACGGAAUUCCUGGUGUAGCGGUGAAAUGCGCAGAUAUCAGGAGGAACACCGGUGGCGAAGGCGGGACUCUGGGCCGAUACUGACGCUGAGGAGCGAAAGCGUGGGGAGCAAACAGG
RNAcentral lists this ribosomal RNA (253 nucleotides) under uncultured bacterium. RNAcentral's name for it is "partial 16S ribosomal RNA". It matches the Rfam family "Bacterial small subunit ribosomal RNA", at positions 524 to 776 of the family's 1533-position model. The record is from RNAcentral.